RNAcentral lists this ribosomal RNA (1223 nucleotides) under Fusarium sp. RNAcentral describes it as "partial large subunit ribosomal RNA". It matches the Rfam family "Eukaryotic large subunit ribosomal RNA", at positions 98 to 1352 of the family's 3401-position model. The record is from RNAcentral. Lineage: Eukaryota; Fungi; Ascomycota; Sordariomycetes; Hypocreales; Nectriaceae.
GCGGCAACAGCUCAAAUUUGAAAUCUGGCUCUCGGGCCCGAGUUGUAAUUUGUAGAGGAUGCUUUUGAUGCGGUGCCUUCCGAGUUCCCUGGAACGGGACGCCAUAGAGGGUGAGAGCCCCGUCUGGUUGGAUGCCAAAUCUCUGUAAAGCUCCUUCGACGAGUCGAGUAGUUUGGGAAUGCUGCUCUAAAUGGGAGGUAUAUGUCUUCUAAAGCUAAAUACCGGCCAGAGACCGAUAGCGCACAAGUAGAGUGAUCGAAAGAUGAAAAGCACUUUGAAAAGAGAGUUAAAAAGUACGUGAAAUUGUUGAAAGGGAAGCGUUUAUGACCAGACUUGGGCUUGGUUAAUCAUCUGGGGUUCUCCCCAGUGCACUUUUCCAGUCCAGGCCAGCAUCAGUUUUCGCCGGGGGAUAAAGGCUUCGGGAAUGUGGCUCUCUCCGGGGAGUGUUAUAGCCCGUUGCGUAAUACCCUGGCGGGGACUGAGGUUCGCGCAUCUGCAAGGAUGCUGGCGUAAUGGUCAUCAACGACCCGUCUUGAAACACGGACCAAGGAGUCGUCUUCGUAUGCGAGUGUUCGGGUGUCAAACCCCUACGCGUAAUGAAAGUGAACGCAGGUGAGAGCUUCGGCGCAUCAUCGACCGAUCCUGAUGUUCUCGGAUGGAUUUGAGUAAGAGCAUACGGGGCCGGACCCGAAAGAAGGUGAACUAUGCCUGUGUAGGGUGAAGCCAGAGGAAACUCUGGUGGAGGCUCGCAGCGGUUCUGACGUGCAAAUCGAUCGUCAAACAUGGGCAUGGGGGCGAAAGACUAAUCGAACCUUCUAGUAGCUGGUUUCCGCCGAAGUUUCCCUCAGGAUAGCAGUGUUGAACUCAGUUUUAUGAGGUAAAGCGAAUGAUUAGGGACUCGGGGGCGCUAUUUAGCCUUCAUCCAUUCUCAAACUUUAAAUAUGUAAGAAGCUCUUGUUGCUUAAUUGAACGUGAGCAUUCGAAUGUAUCAACACUAGUGGGCCAUUUUUGGUAAGCAGAACUGGCGAUGCGGGAUGAACCGAACGCGAGGUUAAGGUGCCAGAGUAGACGCUCAUCAGACACCACAAAAGGUGUUAGUACAUCUUGACAGCAGGACGGUGGCCAUGGAAGUCGGAAUCCGCUAAGGACUGUGUAACAACUCACCUGCCGAAUGUACUAGCCCUGAAAAUGGAUGGCGCUCAAGCGUCUCACCCAUACCUCGC